AUUGAACGCUGGCGGCAGGCCUAACACAUGCAAGUCGAGCGGAUGAAGGGAGCUUGCUCCUGGAUUCAGCGGCGGACGGGUGAGUAAUGCCUAGGAAUCUGCCUGGUAGUGGGGGAUAACGUCCGGAAACGGGCGCUAAUACCGCAUACGUCCUGAGGGAGAAAGUGGGGGAUCUUCGGACCUCACGCUAUCAGAUGAGCCUAGGUCGGAUUAGCUAGUUGGUGGGGUAAAGGCCUACCAAGGCGACGAUCCGUAACUGGUCUGAGAGGAUGAUCAGUCACACUGAAAAGGAGAAACGGUCCAGACUCCAACGGGGGGCAGAGGGGGGAAAUUUUGGAAAAGGGGGGAAAGCCUGACCCAGCAAUGCCGGGGGUGGAAAGAAGGUUUUGGGUUUGAAAAGCACUUUAAGUUGGGGGGAAGGGGAGUAAGUUAAUACCUUGCUGUUUGGACGUUACCAAAAAAAAAAACACCGGCAAACUUCGU
RNAcentral lists this ribosomal RNA (483 nucleotides) under uncultured bacterium. RNAcentral's name for it is "partial 16S ribosomal RNA". It matches the Rfam family "Bacterial small subunit ribosomal RNA", at positions 29 to 506 of the family's 1533-position model. The record is from RNAcentral.